This 253-nucleotide ribosomal RNA is filed under the name uncultured bacterium. Its description in RNAcentral is "partial 16S ribosomal RNA". It matches the Rfam family "Bacterial small subunit ribosomal RNA", at positions 524 to 776 of the family's 1533-position model. The record is from RNAcentral.
UACGGGGGGGGUAAGCGUUGUUCGGAAUUACUGGGCGUAAAGGGCUCGUAGGCGGCCAACUAAGUCGGGCAUGAAAUCUCUCGGCUCAACCGGGAGAGGUUGUCCGAUACUGCUGGACUUGAGGGCAGUAGAGGGUGGUGGAAUUCCGGGUGUAGUGGUGAAAUGCGUAGAUAUCCGGAGGAACACCAGUGGCGAAGGCGGCCGCCUGGACUGUACCUGACGCUAACACGCGAAAGCGAGGGGAGCGAACGGG